Molecule: ribosomal RNA, 484 nt
Filed under: uncultured bacterium
Lineage: Bacteria
Description: partial 16S ribosomal RNA
Rfam family: Bacterial small subunit ribosomal RNA
Source: RNAcentral
AUUGAACGCUGGCGGCAGGCCUAACACAUGCAAGUCGAGCGGCUGCAGGGAUGUUUCCCCUGGAUUCAGCGUCGCACGCGUGUGUAUAGUCUAUCAAUCCGCCUGCUAGUGUGGGAUAACGCCCGGCAACAGCCGCUAUUAUCGCACACGUCAUCUGCGACAGAGUGCGGGGUCCUCUCACCCCUCGCUCUCAGAUGUUCCGAGGUCGGAUUUGCUAGUUGUUGGGGUAAAGGCCUACCAAGGCGACGAUCAGUAACUGGUCUGAGAGGAUGAUCAGUCACACUGGGACUGAGACACGGCCCAGACUCCUACGGGAGGCAGCAGUGGGGAAUAUUGGACAAUGGGCGAAAGCCUGAUCCAGCAAUGCCGCGUGUGUGAAGAAGGACUUCGGAUUGUAAAGCACUUUAGGUUGGGAGGAAGGGCAUGGCGUUAAUACCGUGGGGGGAUGACGGUACCAGCAGAAUAAGCACCGGCUAACUACGUG